GAUGAACGCUGGCGGCGUGCCUAAUACAUGCAAGUCGAGCGAACGGACGAGAAGCUUGCUUCUCUGAUGUUAGCGGCGGACGGGUGAGUAACACGUGGAUAACCUACCUAUAAGACUGGGAUAACUUCGGGAAACCGUAGCUAAUACCGGAUAAUAUUUUGAACCGCAUGGUUCAAAAGUGAAAGACGGUCUUGCUUUCACUUAUAGAUGGAUCCGCGCUGCAUUAGCUAGUUUGUAAGGUAACGGCUUACCAAGGCAACGAUGCAUAGCCGACCUGAGAGGGUGAUCGGCCACACUGGAACUGAGACACGGUCCAGACUCCUACGGGAGGCAGCAGUAGGGAAUCUUCCGCAAUGGGCGAAAGCCUGACGGAGCAACGCCGCGUGAGUGAUGAAGGUCUUCGGAUCGUAAAACUCUGUUAUUAGGGAAGAACAUAUGUGUAAGUAACUGUGCACAUCUUGACGGUACCUAAUCAGAAAGCCACGGCUAACUACGUG
This 497-nucleotide ribosomal RNA is filed under the name uncultured bacterium. RNAcentral describes it as "partial 16S ribosomal RNA". It matches the Rfam family "Bacterial small subunit ribosomal RNA", at positions 28 to 507 of the family's 1533-position model. The record is from RNAcentral.